GUCUGCAACUCGACUACAUGAAGCUGGAAUCGCUAGUAAUCGCGAAUCAGAAUGUCGCGGUGAAUACGUUCCCGGGUCUUGUACACACCGCCCGUCACACCAUGGGAGUCAGUAACGCCCGAAGCCGGUGACCCAACCAGUUCAGGAGGGAGCCGUCGAAGGUGGGACCGAUAACUGGGGUGAAGUCGUAACAAGGUAUC
RNAcentral lists this ribosomal RNA (200 nucleotides) under uncultured bacterium. RNAcentral describes it as "partial 16S ribosomal RNA". It matches the Rfam family "Bacterial small subunit ribosomal RNA", at positions 1303 to 1500 of the family's 1533-position model. The record is from RNAcentral.